Molecule: ribosomal RNA, 440 nt
Filed under: uncultured bacterium
Lineage: Bacteria
Description: partial 16S ribosomal RNA
Rfam family: Bacterial small subunit ribosomal RNA
Source: RNAcentral
CCUACGGGCGGCAGCAGUGGGGAAUAUUGCACAAUGGGGGAAACCCUGAUGCAGCGACGCCGCGUGAGUGAAGAAGUAUUUCGGUACGUAAAGCUCUAUCAGCAGGGAAGAAAAUGACGGUACCUGACUAAUAAGCCCCGGCUAACUACGUGCCAGCAGCCGCGGUAAUACGUAGGGGGCAAGCGUUAUCCGGAUUUACUGGGUGUAAAGGGAGCGUAGACGGCAGCGCAAGUCUGGAGUGAAAUCCCAUGGCUUAACCAUGGAACUGCUUUGGAAACUGUGCAGCUAGAGUGCAGGAGAGGUAAGCGGAAUUCCUAGUGUAGCGGUGAAAUGCGUAGAUAUUAGGAGGAACACCAGUGGCGAAGGCGGCUUACUGGACUGUAACUGACGUUGAGGCUCGAAAGCGUGGGGAGCAAACAGGAUUAGAUACCCCUGUAGUC